RNAcentral lists this ribosomal RNA (720 nucleotides) under uncultured bacterium. RNAcentral's name for it is "bacterial SSU rRNA". It matches the Rfam family "Bacterial small subunit ribosomal RNA", at positions 82 to 817 of the family's 1533-position model. The record is from RNAcentral.
AUGUGGCAUUCGAGUGGCGGACGGGUGAGUAACGCGUGGGUAACCUGCCUUACACAGGGGGAUAACACCUGGAAACAGGUGCUAAUACCGCAUAAGCGCACAGGGCCGCAUGGCCCGGUGUGAAAAACUCCGGUGGUGUAAGAUGGACCCGCGUCUGAUUAGCUUGUUGGCGGGGUAGGGGCCCACCAAGGCGACGAUCAGUAGCCGGCCUGAGAGGGUGGACGGCCACAUUGGGACUGAGACACGGCCCAAACUCCUACGGGAGGCAGCAGUGGGGGAUAUUGGACAAUGGGGGAAACCCUGAUCCAGCGACGCCGCGUGAGUGAAGAAGUAUUUCGGUAUGUAAAGCUCUGUCAGCAGGGAAGAAAGAAAUGACGGUACCUGACCAAGAAGCCCCGGCUAACUACGUGCCAGCAGCCGCGGUAAUACGUAGGGGGCAAGCGUUAUCCGGAAUUACUGGGUGUAAAGGGAGCGUAGACGGUGAUGCAAGUCUGGAGUGAAAGGCGGGGGCCCAACCCCCGGACUGCUCUGGAAACUGUGUAACUUGAGUGCAGGAGAGGUAAGCGGAAUUCCUAGUGUAGCGGUGAAAUGCGUAGAUAUUAGGAGGAACACCAGUGGCGAAGGCGGCUUACUGGACUGUAACUGACGUUGAGGCUCGAAAGCGUGGGGAGCAAACAGGAUUAGAUACCCUGGUAGUCCACGCCGUAAACGAUGAUUACU